ACAGCAGCCGCCGCGGUAAUACAGAGGGUGCGAGCGUUAAUCGGAUUUACUGGGCGUAAAGCGUGCGUAGGCGGCUUCUUAAGUCGGAUGUGAAAUCCCUGAGCUUAACUUAGGAAUUGCAUUCGAUACUGGGAAGCUAGAGUAUGGGAGAGGAUGGUAGAAUUCCAGGUGUAGCGGUGAAAUGCGUAGAGAUCUGGAGGAAUACCGAUGGCGAAGGCAGCCAUCUGGCCUAAUACUGACGCUGAGGUACGAAAGCAUGGGGAGCAAACAGGAUUAGAUACCCCUGUAGUCCCUGUCUCUUAUAU
RNAcentral lists this ribosomal RNA (305 nucleotides) under uncultured bacterium. RNAcentral describes it as "partial 16S ribosomal RNA". It matches the Rfam family "Bacterial small subunit ribosomal RNA", at positions 508 to 809 of the family's 1533-position model. The record is from RNAcentral.